Molecule: ribosomal RNA, 251 nt
Filed under: uncultured bacterium
Lineage: Bacteria
Description: partial 16S ribosomal RNA
Rfam family: Bacterial small subunit ribosomal RNA
Source: RNAcentral
GACGGGGGGGGCAAGUGUUCUUCGGAAUGACUGGGCGUAAAGGGCACGUAGGUGGUGAAUCGGGUUGAAAGUGAAAGUCGCCAAAAACUGGCGGAAUGCUCUCGAAACCAAUUCACUUGAGUGAGACAGAGGAGAGUGGAAUUUCGUGUGUAGGGGUGAAAUCCGGAGAUCUACGAAGGAACGCCAAAAGCGAAGGCAGCUCUCUGGGUCCCUACCGACGCUGGGGUGCGAAAGCAUGGGGAGCGAACAGG